GUUUCCAGCACUGAUGAGCUCCUGAUUUGACAUUUCUGAUGCCAUCUGAACGUUUUCCUCUGCUGUUGGUUCACUUCCACCUGCUCCCAUAUCAAAUAGUUCAACCCUCUUAUUGCCAAGACUGCUCAUAUACGUUUUUCUCAAGGCCACAUAUGAGUUUAGCUCUUUGAUCAUUGAUUGCUUCUCAUCAUUGAGUUGUUUGUUGACCUCGGGAGGACUUUUACUCUCCUCGUCUUUAAUUUCACGAUCAAACUCUUUAACUAACCUUUUGCACUCUCUCAUCUUUCCAGUAAGUUCUUCCAACUGUUUACUCUGUCUAUUGGAAUCUUUGAUCUUAUCCAGCUUUUGAAAUCCAUUUGCUAGAGCUCGGAAAUUAUCCCGAAUCUCUCCAUGGAUCUGUUCCAUCUGUGGGUUCAUUUGUAAGUCCAAAUUCGCCAUUUUUUGAGCAAUCGUUAUCCCCUUUUUUCUCUUCUUCUUCCUUCACCGCCGGUUAGAACCCAAACGAAUUCUUCACCGGCAAAUCAAAUUACAAACACCCAACUCCCCAAAACUCAAAAUUUCACGGAAUUCAUCCCAUUUUACUCCAAAAAAAACUGAAAUUGAAAACUGAAGGUUCUAAAGAUGGAAAGAUUAAGAUUUUAUAGGGUUUUUUUGACAAGGAACAAAACCCAAAGAGGGGAAAAUUGGAUUUGGGAUGGUUUUUAGGGUUCUUGAAGAGAAAAAAAAAAA
Molecule: unclassified non-coding RNA, 729 nt
Filed under: Hevea brasiliensis (rubber tree)
Lineage: Eukaryota; Viridiplantae; Streptophyta; Magnoliopsida; Malpighiales; Euphorbiaceae
Source: RNAcentral